Gouania willdenowi (blunt-snouted clingfish) is the source of this 1791-nucleotide long non-coding RNA. Ensembl annotates it as extracellular matrix protein A-like. Lineage: Eukaryota; Metazoa; Chordata; Actinopteri; Blenniiformes; Gobiesocidae. The record is from Ensembl.
AUGAAGCUGCUACUUUCUGUCAGUCUCCUUUGGAUUUUCUCCAUUUCAGCUGAAGGACUCCAGUGUCUGAGCUGCACUGAUUCAACGUGUUCAACUAUAGAAUCUGUCACAUGUUCCACUGAGACAAUGUGUAUCACAGCUUCUAUUCUCGAGACCAGCCUACUAGUUUCUUCUUCAGAACUCAGUUUCUUCAAAGGCUGUGCAUCUUCCUCUCUGUGUUCAUCCACGGGCCCAAAGACAUUCUCAGUGGAUCUGGGUCUCUCUGGUAGAUUUAUAUCUGCUGAAUGCUGUGACACACACAACUGUAACUCUCAGACCUUACCCAGUCCUACUCCUCCUCAGUCUACUAAUGGUCUGCAGUGUUUCUUUUGUGGUUUUGGUCAGUGUCACAUUAUCGUUGACUGUCAAGGCGAGGAGGACAGGUGUAUUCAAGGAAAUGGUAUAUCGGGUAACCCAAUUCGCGGCUGUGCGUCUGCCAAUGUGUGCCAACCUGCACAAAUCGAUAGAGGGCUGCCAUUUUUUGAACAUCUUGCUGAGCUUACAUGUGGAACCACAUGCUGUGAUACUGAUCUGUGUAACAAUGGGACAACACAAGGACUCCAGUGUCUGAGCUGCACUGAUUCAACGUGUUCAACUGUAGAAUCUGUCACAUGUUCCACUGAGACAAUGUGUAUCACAGCUUCUUCUAUUUUUGAGAACAGAACAGUUCCUUCUUCAGAACUCAGUUUCUUCAAAGGCUGUGCAUCUUCCUCUCUGUGUUCAUCCACGGGCCCAAAGACAUUCUCAGUGGAUCUGGGUCGCUAUGCUAGAUUUACAUCUGCUGAAUGCUGUGACACACACAACUGUAACUUUCAGACCUUACCCAGUCCUACUCCUCCUCAGUCUGAUAAUGGUCUGCGGUGCUUCUUGUGUGAUUCUGGUUCAUGUAGUUUCAUUGUUACCUGUCAAGGAGAGGAGGACAGGUGUUUUCAAGGAACAGAUAUGAUGGGUAACCCACGUCGCGGCUGUGCGACUGCCAAUGUGUGCCAACCUGCACGAAUCGAUGGAAAGCUCCCAUUUUUUGAUGAUCUUGGUGAACUUCAGGGUGGAACCACAUGCUGUGAUACUGAUCUGUGUAACGAUGGAACACCACAAGGACUCCACUGUCUGAGCUGCACUGAUUCAACGUGUUCAACUACAGAAUCUGUCACAUGUUCCACUGAGACAAUGUGUAUCACAGCUUCUAUUAUCGAGACCAGACCAGUUCCUUCUUCAGAACUCAGUUUCUUCAAAGGCUGUGCAUCUUCCUCUCUGUGUUCAUCCACGGGCCCAAAGACAUUCUCAGUGGAUCUGGGUCUCUCUGGUAGAUUUAUAUCUGCUGAAUGCUGUGACACACACAACUGUAACUCUCAGACCUUACCCAGGCCUACUCCUCCUCAGUCUGCUAAUGGUCUGCGAUGCUUCGUGUGUGCUUAUGGUCAAUGUGGUUUAAUUGAUAACUGUCAAGUAGGGGAGGACAGGUGUAUUCGGGGAACAGAUAUGAUGGGUAACCCAAUUGGCGGCUGUGCGUCUGCCAGCGUGUGCCAAGCUGCAUCAACCAAUGGAGAGCUAUUUGGUGAACUUACAAGUGGAACCACAUGUUGUGAUACUAGUCUGUGCAACAACUGAAGUAUCGUUUAACAACUGCAUCAACAAAAUCUCCAAUAUUAUUCUCAAAGAUAAUCAAUCAUCUAUUUUAUUUCAGCUUUUGUAAUCAGGGGUUGUGAGCUCUCCAAAAAUAAAUAACUGGCUUUGAUGUGUUAUGAAAAGGCA